RNAcentral lists this long non-coding RNA (904 nucleotides) under Capra hircus (goat). Its description in RNAcentral is "lncRNA (ENSCHIG00000001007.1)". The record is from RNAcentral. Lineage: Eukaryota; Metazoa; Chordata; Mammalia; Artiodactyla; Bovidae.
CUAUCCCCAGCUCCCUGGACGAGGCUCCUUCUGGCCCUUUCUAGAAAGUUAUUCUCUUGGUUCUGCCUCCCUGGUGCCUCCUCUCAUCUCUCGCUGUCUUCCUCCUCCCUUCCUAGGAUCUGACCUGUGUCCCCAGUCAGACAAUGUCAGACGCCUUUAGGUGAGGGUAACCAAGGUUGGAGCCCUGUUUUAUGGGACUGUUUUAGAGGAAAUUAAAGGGACGGUUGGGUGGCUGGCUCCCAGCAGUUUCAGCAUCUCCAGAUCAGGCAGUGACGGGAUGCCCUGUCUCAUCUUUAUGUUCCACCAGGACCCCAGGUGGUGAUUCAGUUCUGUGCACACCCUUCUGUGCCUGCAGCGACAGGUGUCCUGCCAGUGAAUGUCACACCUCAGACUCCCGAGAGAUGGUCCUGCACCGGGAAAUGAAGUUAUCAACUUGGCAACUUAUUUUAUUACCAGUGUUCUUGCUGGAGUCCCAGGAUCUCAGCGCUUCCCCACACCUGGCUCCGUGUUCAGGCCAGCUUCUGAGCUAGGGGUCCUGUCUGCUCUCCUCCCUCUCCUCCCCUCUCUCCUCUCUGCGUGCAUGACAGCAUCACUCUCUUUUCCCUUCUUUCCCUCUUUCCUCCCUGUGUCUGUUUGUCUCUCUCUCUCCCUCCUCCCUCCAGGUUAAUCAGAGAGCUAUGAAUCAGACAGAUGUAAGCGAGAGGCUCCCUGUGUCCACCCUUAGGCCCAGAGCGGGAGUGGGGGGCUCCCCCAUCUCUCCCCAGCCCACUGCAGAGCAGACCUCCCCGCAAUUGUAGCCAAUCACAAAAUAAGCCCCUGGUUGUUUCCAAGCGAGCUCUGCACAGCAUUCCAUUAUGACAUUCUGAAAACCUGGUUACUUAUAAAGCAAUUUGCUCCUGCGGGC